AGCUCACCUCCUACACAUCCUGUGCCCGUCAGCUAUCUCUGAGUUUGGCGGUGUGGCAUAGAAGCCAGCGCUACAGGAUGGCACACACCUCCACUCCUCCAUCAGUACCGGCUGUGUUGUGUGGGAACCUCCUCCUCACAAACGCGUUGUGAUGGAACCUCCUUCCAUUGCUCAGCCUCCUUGACCAUCCUCUCAGCAUCCAGCAGGCCAAAGCCGUACAGAGAAGUGGAAUUAGAAGCGGAGCAUAAAUCCAGCAGGAAUACCGUUGUAUCCAGCGCCGUUUAAGUGCCAAUCAGGUGCAAUAAGAUGAUGAGAUUGUGCUGUUCGUGCAAUAAUGUGCUGCAUGUCCCUCCAGGUUAGUGAGGGGCUGGAAAAGCACCAGAUAGAGAGAGAGAGAGAG
Long non-coding RNA from Thalassophryne amazonica, 400 nucleotides. RefSeq lists it as uncharacterized. The record is from RefSeq and is a predicted model, not a curated record. The transcript is spliced from 3 exons. Lineage: Eukaryota; Metazoa; Chordata; Actinopteri; Batrachoidiformes; Batrachoididae.